Molecule: unclassified non-coding RNA, 354 nt
Filed under: soil metagenome
Description: partial contains 5.8S ribosomal RNA, internal transcribed spacer 2, and large subunit ribosomal RNA
Rfam family: 5.8S ribosomal RNA (bases 1-120)
Source: RNAcentral
GAUGAAGAACGUAGCGAAAUGCGAUAAGUAGUGUGAAUUGCAGAAUUCAGUGAAUCAUCGAAUCUUUGAACGCACAUUGCGCCUCCUGGUAUUCCGGGAGGCAUGCCUGUUCGAGCGUCAUUAAAAUCACUCAAGCUUAGGUUUACCUAUUGCUUGGUCUUGGAGAUGGAAGCCAAUUUAUUGGAAUCCUCUUCGAAAUUCAAUGGCGAAGACCCUUGCUCUCCCAAGUGUAGUAAUAACUUAUGUCACUGAAGGAAGCGAGAAAUCUUCUGCCGUAGCCCCCAUAUUUUCUAUGAUUGACCUCGGAUCAGGUAGGGAUACCCGCUGAACUUAAGCAUAUCAAUAAGCGGAGGA